GCGUCCGCGUAAUUGUCCACGUUGUCCAACGUCACGCCUGAGCCGAUCAACACCGGCAGCCUCGCUGCGACGCACUCCCGUACUUCUACAAGAUUAUGGUGUUCACGUGUUUCAUCUGCAAAAAGAGAUCAAACAAAUCGCAAGAUUUGUCGUUUCAUCGUCGAAGGAAGAAGGUUUCUGAAACCAGGGAGUAAACUAACUAUAAAUCUUGGAGUGCUCCAAUAAAUAUUCCGAACACGACAGAAUUUUCUUCCAUACAAACCAGUAAUAUCUCAACCAAUGAACCAACAUUGCGAUCAAGUAUUGAAAAGUUGGCCACAUCAAAUAAGCGGAAACAAGAACCACCACUGGCUGAAAUUAUUGCUAAAAAAAAGAUUCGACUAACUGAUCUCACAUGGGAAGAACUUUUUGAGUCAUCAAUGCGAGAAAAAGCUUAUCUCGCGGUGGACACAACAACAACUCGACCGCCGAGCAGUUUGAGUCUGCAUUCAAGUGGUUAUUGGUUUAUGCGCAAAUCAAAGGCUCAGAUAAAUGCAAAUUGUCUACUUCAAGAUAGCACUUGUUUAUUACAAACUCUCAAAGUUCUUGAUAAGCCGGCUCCUAAAACUCAUGAUAAUGAUAUUGUUGACAUGCAUAAAAUCAGUAAAACUCUUAGGGUUUCUUCAAGCACUUCUUUGGAUCAUGACUAUUAUAUACCCUUAGUAUUUAUAAAUGUUAAUAAAACGUAUUAAUCACA
Molecule: long non-coding RNA, 736 nt
Organism: Temnothorax curvispinosus
Lineage: Eukaryota; Metazoa; Arthropoda; Insecta; Hymenoptera; Formicidae
Exons: 4
Source: RefSeq, a predicted model, not a curated record